UAGCGCGGUGGUCCCACCUGACCCCAUGCCGAACUCAGAAGUGAAACGCCGUAGCGCCGAUGGUAGUGUGGGGUUUCCCCAUGCGAGAGUAGGGAACUGCUAGGC
Molecule: ribosomal RNA, 105 nt
Filed under: Escherichia coli
Lineage: Bacteria; Pseudomonadati; Pseudomonadota; Gammaproteobacteria; Enterobacterales; Enterobacteriaceae
Source: RNAcentral